CCCGAGCCCCGCAGCCGGGCUUCCGCGUGCGGGCAGCGCCCCCUGCCCCGUCCGGAGCUCUCCGCCGCAGUGAUGGCGGCGACGGGGGCGGCGCAGCCGAGUCACCUGUGGGGCUUCUCACAACUCCACAGCCCCCUCCCCAAACCCUAGGUCACUCGUCCAGAGGAAGAAAAGAAGCAAUCUCAGCAGAUGCAGGGCCCGGCGCGCCGGUGGUGGAGUUUCCAAAAGCCCUACAGGUGAUGCCACCCCGACGCCCCGCGACGCUGGCCCUGGGUAGUCUCGACCCUCUCCGGCUCCGCAGCUUCCCCCGACCCCGCGGGACGGCCGGGGCUUCGGCGGCGAGACUUGGGAAAGUGUCCCCUGCUCUGCGCACCUCCCUCGCUGCGCGGACCGCGCGCUGGAUGCCAGAGCCACGGAGACCCCUCCAGCCCCACUGAUAUGGGAUGUAGACAGAGGCAUUGGCCAAAGCCUGGAGAGACGCACACCCAGAGUCAGAGGGGAAAGAAGCAGAGUGAAGAACCUUUCUGAGAAGCCUGCUCAUCUGUAUGCUCCGAGAGCAGUGGAAGCCACAGCACAGGAAGCUUCAUUGGGAAGGGCCUUGUGAAUCAGUCCAGGCUCAUGGGCACAACUAGCCAUUUGAGAUAGAACUGGGAACAGGAGGCCCACUGUCUCAGAGGAUUGCAUCAAGAACUGUGCCCCCGAGCAGCUGAAGACUGCAGGGUCUUGGAGCUGCAGGGACAGGAGGGAAGGAGCCAAUACUCCACCAGGCAUCCACUCUUUUCACAUACUAUCUUUUCAUGAAUCUCUGCAGUCGUGAUAGAAAGUACCCCCAAAAUGUCUCCAUCUGAAAGUAGAGGAAACUGAGGCUGAGAGGCAUAAAAGUGACUGGCCUAACACAUCAGUGAAUAAAUGGCCUGAAAGAUCUUUAACACUAGUCUGCUCUAAUUCUGCAUGAUGACUCUUCCUUUAUGUCAUGCAGUCAAGCCUUGCCACCAGCCAGAAUUUCUGAGAUGCAUCACUGGUUUAUAAAGCGGUGUCAAAUGGUAUGAGCAUGGAGGGGAUGACAUGUGUGCAGUGGGUCACAGCACUUCUCUUUCUUCAGACUCGAAGUCCAAGUUUUGUCAGAAAAUUCUCAUGGAAAGACAGACAGAUACCAGGCUGACCUAGCAUCCACUCAUUCUCUCCCUCUCUCUCUCUCUCUCUCUCUCUCUCUCUCUCUCUCAGUUUGGAAAAAGGAUUUGUAGGUCAUUUAGUCCAAAUUUCUAAUUCCUGAAUUAAAGUUGCAGUAUCUAAAGUAAAUAGCUUUCUAGCCUGUGCUUGGAGAUUUAUAGACUGUAAGGACUUUUACAAAGG
This 1353-nucleotide long non-coding RNA is filed under the name Heterocephalus glaber (naked mole-rat). RNAcentral describes it as "lncRNA (ENSHGLG00100046385.1)". Lineage: Eukaryota; Metazoa; Chordata; Mammalia; Rodentia; Bathyergidae. The record is from RNAcentral.